GCACGGGUGGCGCAUUGUGUGAGCGCGUCGGUCUCUCACCGCUGUGGCCCAGGUUCGAAUCCUGGCCCAAACU
RNAcentral lists this transfer RNA (73 nucleotides) under Nematostella vectensis (starlet sea anemone). It matches the Rfam family "tRNA". Rfam says of the family: Transfer RNA (tRNA) molecules are approximately 80 nucleotides in length. The record is from Rfam by way of RNAcentral. Lineage: Eukaryota; Metazoa; Cnidaria; Anthozoa; Actiniaria; Edwardsiidae.